AAGGGUAUAGCUCAGUGGUAGAGCACAUGCUUAGCAUGCAUGAGGUCCUGGGUUCAAUCCCCUGUACCUCCA
This 72-nucleotide transfer RNA is filed under the name Camelus bactrianus (Bactrian camel). It matches the Rfam family "tRNA". From Rfam's summary of the family: Transfer RNA (tRNA) molecules are approximately 80 nucleotides in length. The record is from Rfam by way of RNAcentral. RNAcentral also lists the same sequence under 2 other names. Lineage: Eukaryota; Metazoa; Chordata; Mammalia; Artiodactyla; Camelidae.